This 257-nucleotide ribosomal RNA is filed under the name uncultured bacterium. Its description in RNAcentral is "partial 16S ribosomal RNA". It matches the Rfam family "Bacterial small subunit ribosomal RNA", at positions 524 to 776 of the family's 1533-position model. The record is from RNAcentral.
GACGUAGGUGGCGAACGUUAUCCGGAAUUAUUGGGCGUAAAGGGUGCGUAGGCGGCAUGAUAAGUUAUUGGCGGCAAAUCGAGGCUCAACCUCGUGGAAACUGAUAAUACUGUCUUGCUUGAGUGCAGAAGAGGUUAACGGAACUCCAUGUGGAGCGGUAAAAUGUGUAGAUAUAUGGAAGAACAUCAAUAACGGCGAAGGCAGUUAACUAUUCUGUUACUGACGUUGAGGCACGAAAAGCGUGGGGAGCAAAAAGG